GAGGGUAUAGCUCAGUGGUAGAGCACAUGGCUAGCAUACAGAAGGUCCUGGGUUCAAAACCCAAUACCUCCA
RNAcentral lists this transfer RNA (72 nucleotides) under Camelus bactrianus (Bactrian camel). It matches the Rfam family "tRNA". From Rfam's summary of the family: Transfer RNA (tRNA) molecules are approximately 80 nucleotides in length. Their secondary structure includes four short double-helical elements and three loops (D, anti-codon, and T loops). RNAcentral also lists the same sequence under 1 other name. The record is from Rfam by way of RNAcentral. Lineage: Eukaryota; Metazoa; Chordata; Mammalia; Artiodactyla; Camelidae.